AUUGAACGCUGGCGGCAGGCCUAACACAUGCAAGUCGAACGAGUGGCGGACGGGUGAGUAAUGUCUGGGAAACUGGCUGAUGGAGGGGGAUAACUACUGGAAACGGUAGCUAAUACCGCAUACCAUCAGAUGUGCCCAGAUGGGAUUAGCUUGUUGGGGGGGUAACGGCUCACAAAGGCGACGAUCCCUAGCUGGUCGGAGAGUAUGACCAGCCACACUGGAACGGAGACACGGUCCAGACUCCUACGGGAGGAAGCAGUGGGGAAGAUUGCACAAUGGGCGAAAGCCGGAUGCAGCAAUGCCGCGUGGAUGAAGAAGGCCUUCGGGUUGUAAAGUACGUUCAGCGGGGAGGCGUUACCCGAAGAAGAAGCACCGGCUAACUCCGUGCCAGCAGCCGCGGUAAUUC
This 406-nucleotide ribosomal RNA is filed under the name uncultured bacterium. RNAcentral describes it as "partial 16S ribosomal RNA". It matches the Rfam family "Bacterial small subunit ribosomal RNA", at positions 29 to 526 of the family's 1533-position model. The record is from RNAcentral.